RNAcentral lists this unclassified non-coding RNA (760 nucleotides) under Hevea brasiliensis (rubber tree). Lineage: Eukaryota; Viridiplantae; Streptophyta; Magnoliopsida; Malpighiales; Euphorbiaceae. The record is from RNAcentral.
AAAUCUCACGAGUUUUCUAGCCAGGAUAUUAGAUUCCUUCCGGAGAACCUGCUCAAUUCGCAUCAGAGUACUCAACAACUUGUGAAUGGCCCUUGUCUUUAUACAAUAGACCUUGUCCAGGAGAUCCUUUAAUAUACUUAAGAAUGCGAAUUACUGCAUUCUAGUGAUCACUGCUUGGAGCCUGGAGAAACUGGCUUACCACACUAACGACAAAUGAGAUAUCUAGUCAUGUAAUAGUAAGAUAAUUCAGCUUACUAACUAUCCUUCGAUAGUUGGUAAGCUGAAUUAUCAUGCCAGUGUCUAUAGGUUAAUAGUCUAUCAUUCCAGUGUCUUGAAGUAUGUCCAAAGCAUAUUUUCUUUGGGAAAUGACAAUAGCCUUUGUGGAUUAUGUCACCUCAAUUCCCAAAAAAUAUUUUAGUUUUCCCAAAUCUUUAGUUUGAAAGUGACUGAACAAAUGUUGUUUGAGACGAACAAUCUCAUCAUGGUCAUUUUCUGUUAUGACAAUGUCAUCAAAAUAAACUACCAGAUAAAUGCAUUUACCGUGAUAAUAAUGGCCAAAAAGCACUGAAUGAUCUGCUCCUCUCUGAGUCAUUCCAAACUGUUAGACUAUAGUACUGAAUCGACCAAACAAUGCCCUUGGAGAUUGUUUUAGACCAUAUAAUGCACAUCUUAGACGACAUACUAGGCUAGACAACCCCUGAGCAACAAAUCCUAGUGGUUACUCCAUAUAAAUCUCCUUAGCGAAUUCCCUAUGCAAAAA